AAGUAAUAUGAGAAUGAUACUCGAUAGAUGCUCGUCUAGUGGAUUUUUUUAAGGAAAAAAAAGGGAGGGGGUUUUAGCCGUUAGGCGAGACAUAUGUAGUAUUGCGAUGCAAAUGUCUCGAGUCCGGCACUCCCCUAGGGUACGGGCCCUAGGGGGUCUUUUGAAGAUUUCCUAAAAAAAA
Molecule: non-coding RNA, 181 nt
Organism: Trachymyrmex cornetzi
Lineage: Eukaryota; Metazoa; Arthropoda; Insecta; Hymenoptera; Formicidae
Source: Rfam